AUCUUUUUGUAGUUCAUAAUAAGAGUGAUGAUUGGGUCUUCAUGCACAUGUGUGAAAUGCACCUCCCUCAAACUUUGUUAUGAUUGGCAUAUUGCCCAUCUGAUG
Lemur catta (Ring-tailed lemur) is the source of this 105-nucleotide small nucleolar RNA. RefSeq annotates it as small nucleolar RNA U13. Lineage: Eukaryota; Metazoa; Chordata; Mammalia; Primates; Lemuridae. The record is from RefSeq and is a predicted model, not a curated record. The transcript has a single exon.